AUACGGAGGGAGCUAGCGUUGUUCGGAAUUACUGGGCGUAAAGCGUACGUAGGCGGAUUGACAAGUUGGGGGUGAAAUCCCAGGGCUUAACCCUGGAACUGCCCUCAAAACUAUCGAUCUAGAGACCGGGAGAGGUAAGCGGAAUUCCUAGUGUAGAGGUGAAAUUCGUAGAUAUUGGGAAGAACACCAGUGGCGAAGGCGGCUUACUGGACCGGUACUGACGCUAAGGUACGAAAGCGUGGGGAGCAAACAGGAUUAGAAACCCCGGUAGUCC
RNAcentral lists this ribosomal RNA (274 nucleotides) under uncultured bacterium. RNAcentral's name for it is "partial 16S ribosomal RNA". It matches the Rfam family "Bacterial small subunit ribosomal RNA", at positions 523 to 796 of the family's 1533-position model. The record is from RNAcentral.